UAUUUUUUUGGAUCCGCCACUAGUUAGAAAAUCCUUGAACCAUGUCGGAAACAUGGUCAAGAGAAGAAAAAACAGCUUGCAAUUGCAUGAAUGUUCGUGUGGAAGAGUGACUUUAUUUCAAAUCAGAUUUUGAAACUUCUCUUUAGACAAAGCAUGUAUGCUUUUACCAACUUACGCAUGAUCUGAUAUGAUCCCGUAACACUUCGCGCAUGAUCUUAUGAUCCUACGUUUGUCAUGACGUGGGUCCCACUUGCACUUCUCAAUAAAAAUUCUCGUGCACGGAUGCACUUCUCUGCAUGCUAGAAUACACAGUUCUAACUUCUAUAGCAUGCUAGAAUACACAGUUCUAACUUCUAUAGCAUGCAUACGUCAAAACUCCGGCUAUUGGCAAGUGAGCACAAAGGUGGAGCUCCCAAUCUCUGUUCGAACUCCCAUGUAUAUAUUUGUUGAAGUUAUCGACUCUGUUUUGCCGUAUAGUUUGACAUGAGCAAUGCCGACCAUGGACAGUGCGAGGUGUGCGCAUGCACAGGCCCCAGAAAAUCAGGGGCCUCCGAAAAAUGAUUUUGGUCCAAGAGCUAUUAUAAUGUAAUAGGCCAUUGUGCUGAAAAUGUGUGUUUUCUUUUGAGUUAAAUGGUCCAACCCAAUAUUUAGGCCUCGUUUAAUACGUUAUAUAUGGAUUGGAUAGAAUAUCUAAUAUGAAUGCAAUUGUUUGGUGCAGUUAUAUACUAAAUAGUACCCAAAUUAUUAAGCUGACCCACUUGUUUUUUACGGCUCACGUUGUAUAACUUCUACACCCCAAAACUUAUGUAUUAUUAGUUGGGUAGGAAAAAUAUGCUCGCUAUCUCCGCCCCUCUCUCAUGAAUCUAGCCUGGUCUGGGUUCUCGUUGCCGUCGUUCUUCUUCUUCUUCUUAUUCUCUUUCUCUCAAUCAGAUUCACGCUGCCCUUAUCUUCCUUCUCCAUUCAAAGCUUCGAAUCAUCCUUCCUCAUCUUCUUUUCCAACCCAAGAAAACAUGCAUGCAGCAUUCACUUCUGUUGUGCAAACAUUAAGUAUUUCCUGUAAAGCAUAAAUCACGUUGUUUCAAAGUCUCCCAUAAAAAGAAGAAGAUGUAGCAAAUUAAAAGCCACGUUGAAUAUGGAGUGUCGUGGCCACAACGUACUCUAUAAGAAAUAAGAAUUCUGGAGACAAAUGAAAUCAACUUCUAUAUCUUAUCUUGUUCUUAGUGGCCUCUGUUUGGGUUGAAACUUAAACUUUGGGCUUAGAAGGGAGUUGGCCCAAAAAGAAAAGGAAAAGCCCGAAGCUCAGCCUAGACCUAGAAAGCAGAAGGGGCCUUUCCCG
Molecule: long non-coding RNA, 1336 nt
Filed under: Malus domestica (apple)
Lineage: Eukaryota; Viridiplantae; Streptophyta; Magnoliopsida; Rosales; Rosaceae
Description: long non-coding RNA (MDOM_LNC015630)
Source: RNAcentral